This 469-nucleotide ribosomal RNA is filed under the name Pasteurellaceae bacterium canine oral taxon 272. RNAcentral describes it as "bacterial SSU rRNA". It matches the Rfam family "Bacterial small subunit ribosomal RNA", at positions 9 to 474 of the family's 1533-position model. Lineage: Bacteria; Pseudomonadati; Pseudomonadota; Gammaproteobacteria; Pasteurellales; Pasteurellaceae. The record is from RNAcentral.
GAGUUUGAUCAUGGCUCAGAUUGAACGCUGGCGGCAGGCUUAACACAUGCAAGUCGAACGGUAGCAGGGGAAAGCUUGCUUUCUUGCUGACGAGUGGCGGACGGGUGAGUAAUGCUUGGGAAUCUGGCUUAUGGAGGGGGAUAACCAUUGGAAACGAUGGCUAAUACCGCGUAAUAUCGAAAGAUUAAAGACUGGGACCGCAAGGCCAGUUGCCAUAAGAUGAGCCCAAGUGGGAUUAGGUAGUUGGUGGGGUAAGGGCCUACCAAGCCUUCGAUCUCUAGCUGGUCUGAGAGGAUGACCAGCCACACUGGAACUGAGACACGGUCCAGACUCCUACGGGAGGCAGCAGUGGGGAAUAUUGCGCAAUGGGGGCAACCCUGACGCAGCCAUGCCGCGUGAAUGAAGAAGGCCUUCGGGUUGUAAAGUUCUUUCGGUGAUGAGGAAGGCUUAAAUGUUAAUAGCAUUUAGG